This 428-nucleotide ribosomal RNA is filed under the name uncultured bacterium. RNAcentral describes it as "bacterial SSU rRNA". It matches the Rfam family "Bacterial small subunit ribosomal RNA", at positions 354 to 796 of the family's 1533-position model. The record is from RNAcentral.
GUAGGGAAUAUUGCACAAUGGAGGAAACUCUGAUGCAGCGACGCCGCGUGAGUGAUGAAGGCCUUCGGGUCGUAAAGCUCUGUCGCAGGGGAAUAACACAAUGAAGGUACCCUGUAAGAAAGGAUCGGCUAACUUCGUGCCAGCAGCCGCGGUAAGACGAGGGAUCCUAGCGUUGUUCGGAAUCAUUGGGCGUAAAGCGGAUGUAGGUGGCUAUGUAAGUCAGAUGUGAAAGCCUGGGGCUCAACCCCAGAAGUGCAUUUGAUACUGCGUAGCUUGAGUGUCGGAGAGGUUACUAGAAUUGUUGGUGUAGUGGUGAAAUACGUAGAUAUCAACAGGAAUACCGGAGGCGAAGGCGGGUAACUGGCCGAACACUGACACUGAGAUCCGAAAGCGUGGGGAUCAAACAGGAUUAGAUACCCUAGUAGUCC